UAUGUUAGCUUGCUAAUAUAUUUAGUAGCAAAUGGGUGAGUAACACGUACCUAACCUACCUUUUGGACCGGGAUAACUAUUGGAAACAGCAGCUAAUACCGGAUAAAAUAAAAAAAUGCAUGUUUUUUUAUUAAAAGGAGCCUUUAAAGCUCCACCAAAAAAUGGGGGUGCGCAACAUUAGUUAGUUGGUAGGGUAAAGGCUUACCAAGACGAUGAUGUUUAGCGGGGCCAAGAGGCUGUACCGCCACACUGGGAUUGAGAUACGGCCCAGACUCCUACGGGAGGCAGCAGUAAGGAAUAUUCCACAAUGAGCGAAAGCUUGAUGGAGCGACACAGAGUGCAG
This 343-nucleotide ribosomal RNA is filed under the name Mesomycoplasma ovipneumoniae. Its description in RNAcentral is "Mycoplasma ovipneumoniae partial 16S ribosomal RNA". It matches the Rfam family "Bacterial small subunit ribosomal RNA", at positions 71 to 406 of the family's 1533-position model. The record is from RNAcentral. Lineage: Bacteria; Bacillati; Mycoplasmatota; Mycoplasmoidales; Metamycoplasmataceae.